AAUAUAACUAACUUCCUUCCUUCCUGCCUUCCUCCCUCCCUGCCUUCCCUUCCUUCCUGCCUUCCUUCUUCCUUCCUCCCUUUUUUCUUUUCUCCCUUCCUUCCUUCUUAAUAUGUUUUUGGCCUUUUCUUUAUAUAUGUGGCCUAGCAAUAUCCUGUGUUUGGAAAAGUAUAAACCUAAGGCAUCACCUUUACAGAAAAUAUCUUCCACGGAAACAUCUAAAGGCCACAGAUCAGCCCUGGGGUUCAGAGGGAUCCUGACAGCUACUCCUCAAGAUCCUCUCUGUUGUGAUUCAUCCCCCCGGGGCCCUACAGUUUCUCCUUCCUGACUCUUACAUUUCUUUGGAUGGCAUCAUUAUUUACCUGUCUCCUCCCAUAGUUAGGUGCCAAGCACUGUGGAUUCUGCCUCUCAGUGUCCAGACACCCAUUUUCCUUCCCACUGUUCCUUCCCCAUGGAGAAGCCUGUGGCUGGCUGACAGCAGAGAGAGAUGCUCAACUUGGAGAAGGUGUUACCUGGGCCAGGUGGGGAAGGUUUGUUUGCAGAGCAAAGAAGUGAAGGAAGUAUUAACCCUUUGCAUGGCCUCCUGAGAAUCCGACAAGACGUAAAUAGCCAAGAAUAUCUGUGAAACUUCAUCACUGAGUUACAAUAUUUAUCACUGCAAGUGUGUUGUUCAUUGACACUAUAAAGCCAUGUGGAAUUAAGCAGCCUUGAAACACAAAAUGGAGAAAGGCUAAGAGCUGAGAAUUGUUGCCUUCAGGGAAAUACAAUCAAUGUCAAGCAAACAACCACCCCAAAAUGGUUAGCUUUAUCAGCAUUCAGGCCUACAGUGAACGCAAAUGUUCCAGAUCUGAGUUUCAAUUUUUAAAGAAUAAACAUAUGCAAAUGACCAUUAGUCUUAGUAGUUUUAGGGCUCAGAAUGAUCUUAUCUUGUUAACAUUCAGGGCAACUGCUUAUACCCAUUUGAAUGUCAUUUAGAGGGCUAGGAAAGACUGCUUCAACAUUUGAUGACUAAAUGGCAGGGCUCAGCCACAAUGCUCACUCCGAGAAAUGAGAAAUAGACACACCAGUAUGCUAGAUGCUGAUGCAGUUCAGGAAAUGCUACCCCAAAAUAUGGCCCCUCAGCAUACUGAGUAUUUUAAGCAGAAGGCAAUUAAGAAAACCACAAAAACAGAAAGGUCCCUCUGACCUUCUCCCACCCUCUCUCUCUUGAAGAUCCUCAUGUGACAGGUGACCUGCCAUAUAAUCAGAAGGAAGAAAUGUUACACAGAGAGGCUGAGAAGAAUCUGAGGACUUGCUAAGUUUUCCCCAGUUUAUUACCAUUAGAUCAUAUGCCUUUUUUGUUCAAUCAUACUUCUAUACAACUGUCCAUCAUUCAUUAAACCUAACCACAAAAGUAGUUUUCACUCGGUUUUUGAGUGAAGGCUCCUGUGUCACAUAAAACUUACAUUAAAUAAAUUUGUUCCACUUUUCUUUUGUUAAUCUGUCUUUUGUUAUAGGAAUGUCAGCCAUUAACCUCACAGUAGGUGAUGAAAAGAUAUUACUUUUUCUCCCCUAUACUACCCAAGCCAGCCACCUCAAGAAAGAACAGUUCAUGUGCAGGUGACCAUGUAGUUCAAGUCAUCAUUAAAUCCAAAGCUGAGCAGCCGUGAUGCUAUUGGUGGAAUUGCCCUUGACCAAGAGAAAUCCAUCUUGAUUGUCUCAAUAAUCGGCUCAAGGACCACUGAUGAUGAGGUCCUAAAUUUAAUUCCUAAAAAACCACUAAAGUUAUAGAGGCAAAAUGAGAAAGCAUAGCUCACAAAUACCUUGUGACCAAUGACUUGCCCUCCAUUCUAGUAUUCAAGACCUUUUGCAACUCAGAAUGAGUGCAUCUGAAAUUCUCAGAAUUGGGAAAAACAUAGCAGAUUUGAAUUGGCAUAUAAUAGGAUUUGCCAUAAGGAACUAUCUUAGGGAGGAAUUUCUGCAUAGUUGACCCUUGAACAACAUGGAUUUUAACUGCAUGGAUGCACUUAUACAUGGAUUUUCUUCCACCUCUGCUAACCCUGAGACAGCGGAACCAACCCCUCCUCUUCUUCCUCCCCCUCAGCCUAUUCAACGUGAAAAAGAUGAGGAUGAAGACCUUUAUUAUGAUCCACUUCCAAGUAAUGAACACACUGGAGAAAGUCAGACAGUCAAAACAAUGUCCCAGACUCCGUGAAGUUCCUGGGUAGAGAAGGAGACAGACAUAUACCAUACCUAAUAAUUGGAUGUCCGAGAGAAUGAGAGAAUGGCAGAAAGAACUUUAGAGCAUGGGUAUGAUGGCUAGAGCUUGAGCAGCCAUUGUGGACAUCAGAUGAACUUGAAAGUGAAAACUAUGAGCUGAAUACGACAAAGCAAACAGAUAGAAAACUGGAUUCAUUAUGACAUUGCAAAGCUGCCAGACCAGCUCUAGUCUGCUUCCCCCUAAUCUUCCUUACUAAGAGAGAGAAAUAAACUUCCAUCUUCUUCAAGCCACUGCUGGUGCAUCUGACUACUUACUAGAUGGUUGCAUUUUGAUUUCCCAGAGACAUCUUAAGGUCAACAUGUUCAAAACCAAACAUCUUCCUUUCUUAAGGCUGCAUCCCACCCGGUUGUUGAAGUCAGAAACCUGGAUUCUACAUUCUCCCUUAACCCCAUAUCCAAUUAAAGCAGGCAGAAUAAUGGCUCCCUCAAAGAUGUCCACAUUCUAAUCCUCAGAACCUAUUAAUAUGCUACUUCAUAUGGCAAAGGGACUUUAUUUAUGUAAUUAAGGUAAAGGUCCUAGAGACGGGGAGGUUGUCUUGGAUUACCUGGAUGGACCCAACUUAAUCACAUGAGUCUUUUAAAGUGGAAGAGGGAGGCAGAAAGAAAAAAGAAGAGGCAGGAGAGAUUCAACGUAU
Molecule: long non-coding RNA, 2894 nt
Filed under: Homo sapiens (human)
Lineage: Eukaryota; Metazoa; Chordata; Mammalia; Primates; Hominidae
Description: HSALNT0307056
Source: RNAcentral